Molecule: long non-coding RNA, 1538 nt
Filed under: Fragaria vesca (wild strawberry)
Lineage: Eukaryota; Viridiplantae; Streptophyta; Magnoliopsida; Rosales; Rosaceae
Description: long non-coding RNA (FVES_LNC001743)
Source: RNAcentral
AUCUUCUUCUUCUUCUUCUUCUUCUUCACUCUCUCUCGAGUCCUACAACAAUGUUGGAGAAGAAUCCGACUUCAAAAGCCCGCGCCGGUUACCGUGUAGAAAGAUGAGAUCUAGAACGGAGCUCCGACACGAUGGCGACAUCGCCGCUGCCACUGCCUCUCGUCGCUCAUCAUCACCAUCUACGAACCUGUCACAUGCCGCGCUCGUCGGCCAGAUCCACGUCCCCGUCAACGCCGUGUUCAUCUCCGGCAUGGAGCGCCGUCACAGAUCUUGAUGUUAGAGUAAGUCGUAGAUCUAAUUCGGUCGGGGUUCUUGUCAAAUUGUAUUUUUCCUUCUGAGAUCAUCAAAUUGCUCUAUGGUACUAUUGAAUGGGAAGCAUUGCUUCUUAUUGUGAUAGAAGCAUUUGUGACUUGAUUUUGUGACAGGGAUUCAGCUUUACUACAUGCACUAUUGGGACCGCAAUGACCAUAAAAAUCACAGUUAUGAAUGUUGCCACAGCAGCUGUUGAAGUUGCCCUGGAGCACUCAUCCACAUCCUGAAUUUUACUGAGCUGUCCGAGACACUUGUGACAACAUAAACCUCAUCAUCAUCAAAGUCGUAAGAAAGGAAUAACGCCAAUCCACCUAUAUCUGGAUACUCUGUUCUUGUAUCCUUGCCGACGAACACAGAACUUCUACAAUACGGAAGAGUUCCGUUCCAGAUAAAGCCCUGAAGUGGUAAUUAAGGAUCAAUGCCGAAGCUCUGCCACAAGGUGACUUCUUCAAAGCUCAGAACAAGGUUUUCGAAAUCCGCUGGUAGUCCAGUUGUGUGAUUUAUUGAAGAUUUCAAGUUUUUUUUUAAUUUUUUUAUAUAAAAAAUAAAUUACAAAGAAAAACCUCUCGGACAUCCUAAAUUAUGAAAGUUUAAAAGGAAUGCAUUCUGAGCAGCUUGAAGAUUUCAAGUUUUCAACCAUGAGACGUCAGUUGAUUUCCUUGAUUUUUUUUUUUAUUUUUUAUUUUGUUGAACAACUUUUUCUCACACAAUAUUUUUCUUUCACUUCUGGAAGGUCCAACAUAAGUCAUUCAACAAGACGAUACAUUAGUCUUUCAUCUUGAGAAGGAAGUUUACAGUUUAGCUUAUAAAAGCUGCAAAUAAUCAAACAUUUUUUUUAUCACAAGCAGAAUACGAAAUAAGAUUUGUCGACAUACAAAUGAUGAGGCCUGAUGAAGCAUGAGAUCUGUGCAACUAGUAUCAACCAUACCAUAAUAAUACCUUCUUUUUUCCCCCAUUUUCUUAAUGAUCCGCCUUUGAAAGCUAACACUAAUAUUGAAGCUCUAUCGAGGUUCUGGCAAAGUAAUAGUGACUACAUUAUUGGAAUAAAUGGUAACAGGAUUUGAAUUCCUACUUGUUGAAAAAGCAGGUUCUUUGGAGGGUGGAAGUGAGGUAGCUUCUUCAGCCUCGAGCAUAUGAAUCACUAAAGACAUUGUCGGUCGAUCAGCUGGAGCUUCUUGAACACACAAAAGCCCGACAUGGAUGCACCUCAAAGCUUCAUGAAUCCG